Molecule: small RNA, 378 nt
Filed under: Pan troglodytes (chimpanzee)
Lineage: Eukaryota; Metazoa; Chordata; Mammalia; Primates; Hominidae
Description: processed transcript
Source: RNAcentral
GCAAUGCCAAAUGGUACUGUUCAGCGAUUCCUCUUUACCCCAUUGGCAACAACAGCCACCACAGCCAGCACCACCACCACCACUGUUUCCACGACAGCAGCAGGUAGAGCUGUGGGUUUAUCAGAAAUGUCGGAUGUUACUACUACACGUGGCUGGGCUAACAGAGGCCAACAGGAGAACCAGUAUUUACCUUUGGAAGGAUAUGCCUCAAGCCAGUACAGGUGAACAAAGGCAGAGUAAACUGUCACCCCAGAUGCAGGUACAUCAAGACAAAACCCUGCCACCAGCUCAGUCAUCAAGUGUGGGUCCAGCAGAAGCCCAGCCACAGACUGCUCAGCCUUCAGCUCAGCCCCAGCCCCAAACCCAGCCCCAGUCCCC